This 1040-nucleotide long non-coding RNA is filed under the name Phasianus colchicus (ring-necked pheasant). Its description in RNAcentral is "lncRNA (ENSPCLG00000021257.1)". Lineage: Eukaryota; Metazoa; Chordata; Aves; Galliformes; Phasianidae. The record is from RNAcentral.
CCUUGAUGUAGAUGUCUCAUAGCUCACAAAGGAGCAGGGCUAUUUAAAUAUUCAGGGAGCAAGCAGUGCCAGUGAGAGCAGAAGAGACCUUCCCCUUUAAAUGGGUGAAGGCCCAAUCUGCUCCAAAUGUAAAGAGGGAAAGGAGACAAGAAACCUGCUGUGGAAUAGGGUACGUGGCAAAACUCAAAGAGAGAUCUGAGAAGGACAGAAAGCAGGCAAAUCUCAAAAAUGUCUACUACUAAAAAAUCUGGGAAAAUUAUUAGUAAUAAAAUGAAAAAUGGAGCAGUAAUGCAAAAUCCCAUUGCUCUGCCCCGUUAUUGUGGCCCAAUUUCUGAUUAGAAGGAUUGGCAGUUCAUAUCAAUCAAACCUUUAAUUUUUUCUUCCCUUAUUUUUCCCGUUCUCCUCCUACGAUUAAGUUACAAGGAAUUUAUUUUAUUACUUAGGCACAAGUACAGUUUGAAAAAAAAAAAAAUAACAAUAAGGUAAUUUUUGUCUUUUUUCUCAUCAUGAAAUUAUUAUUCCUGGGGUUUUCUGUACCUACAGUGGGAAUAGGAGCCAAGACUCUCCUGUCAGAGCUUGCUACUAAUCCAUCAUGGUGUUGGAGAGUGAGAGGAUAGGCAGUGGUGAACAUGUUCCAGAUUGAAUAUAAGGAGAUAUAAAUUGAAUUCAUGGUUGCAUUUAUAAGGACAUAUCUGAUAAGGGCUUUGGGCCUUUGGGAGAGAGUGAGCGUUUCUCUUCAUAACACUGUAACCUUAAUCUACAGAGGAUCUUCCUUACGUUUUUUCUUAAAAUUUAACUGCGGAGCCUUAAUGGAUGUCACAUUUAGANNNNNNNNNNNNNNNNNNNNNNNNNNNNNNNNUGUGCAAAGCUGUUUGUCUCCCAGUCAGAGGCAAAUGGGAACGGCUGCUGGCAUGCCAAAGCAUUGCACUGAAGGAGACAGUCUGCAGGUAUUAGCUGGAGUGGCAAGAGCAUGGUCUGCCAAGGAACUUCUUCUGGAUAUGUCAUAUAGCAGAAAUUCCAUAAAAAUGUGAGGAAAAAAU